CGCCAGGACCCGCGCAAUGCACCGACACCGAACCCCGCCAGGCCCGGAAGGGAGCAACGGUAGGUACACGGACAUGUGCCGCGGUAAGCCUGGCGGGA
RNAcentral lists this signal recognition particle RNA (98 nucleotides) under Spirochaetales bacterium. RNAcentral's name for it is "signal recognition particle sRNA small type". It matches the Rfam family "Bacterial small signal recognition particle RNA". Rfam says of the family: The signal recognition particle (SRP) is a universally conserved ribonucleoprotein involved in the co-translational targeting of proteins to membranes. Archaeal SRP consists of a 7S RNA and homologues of the eukaryotic SRP19 and SRP54 proteins. In most bacteria, the SRP consists of a 4.5S RNA and the Ffh protein (a homologue of the eukaryotic SRP54 protein). The record is from RNAcentral. Lineage: Bacteria; Pseudomonadati; Spirochaetota; Spirochaetia; Spirochaetales.